AGAGUGAACGCUGGCGGCAGGCCUAACACAUGCAAGUCGAACGGCAGCACAGCAGUAGCAAUACUGUGGGUGGCGAGUGGCGGACGGGUGAGGAAUACAUCGGAAUCUACCUUGUCGUGGGGGAUAACGUAGGGAAACUUACGCUAAUACCGCAUACGAACUAUGGUUGAAAGCGGCGGACCGCAAGGCGUCGCGCGAUUGGAUGAGCCGAUGUCCGAUUAGCUAGUUGGCGGGGUAAAGGCCCACCAAGGCGACGAUCGGUAGCUGGUCUGAGAGGAUGAUCAGCCACACUGGAACUGAGACACGGUCCAGACUCCUACGGGAGCAGCAGUGGGGAAUAUUGGACAAUGGGGGCAACCCUGAUCCAGCCAUGCCGCGUAUGUGAAGAGGCCUGGUUGUAAGCAUUUGUUAGGUAAGAAAGCACUGGCGUAAUACCGUGGUGUCAUGAACGGUAACCAAAGAACUAAGACGACCGGACUAACUCGU
Molecule: ribosomal RNA, 486 nt
Filed under: uncultured soil bacterium
Lineage: Bacteria
Description: bacterial SSU rRNA
Rfam family: Bacterial small subunit ribosomal RNA
Source: RNAcentral